This 253-nucleotide ribosomal RNA is filed under the name uncultured bacterium. RNAcentral describes it as "partial 16S ribosomal RNA". It matches the Rfam family "Bacterial small subunit ribosomal RNA", at positions 524 to 776 of the family's 1533-position model. The record is from RNAcentral.
UACGUAGGGUGCGAGCGUUGUCCGGAUUUAUUGGGCGUAAAGGGCUCGUAGGCGGCGUGUCGCGUCGGGAGUGAAAGCCCGUUGCUUAACGGCGGGUUGGCUUUCGGUACGGGCAUGCUGGAGUGCGGCAGGGGAGACUGGAAUUCCUGGUGUAGCGGUGGAAUGCGCAGAUAUCAGGAGGAACACCUGCGGUGUAGACGGCUUUCUGGACCAUUGCUGACGCUGAGACACGAAAGCGUGGGUAGCAAACAGG